RNA transcript from Trichechus manatus latirostris (Florida manatee), 771 nucleotides. It is a transcript of the gene named tRNA wybutosine-synthesizing protein 3 homolog pseudogene, with no coding region annotated. The transcript is spliced from 2 exons. Lineage: Eukaryota; Metazoa; Chordata; Mammalia; Sirenia; Trichechidae. The record is from RefSeq and is a predicted model, not a curated record.
AUGACUACAAUGGUUUUAAUCUCCAUAAUCAUCAAAAUUAAGAUAACCUGCUUCCAGGCAGCGCUCGCUUCAAUAUGGUGGCCCCCAAGGAGGGGAGCAGCUAAGGGUGUAAACGGUUUUGCAGUUCAGAAACAAAACUGUUGUUGGCUACUGGUCACGCACAAACCUUGUAUAAAAGAUGAUGUGAUUGUAGCUCUGAAGAAAGUGAAUGGUGAUGCCAUUUUGAAAUUUGAACCAUUUAUUCUUCAUGUGCAAUGUCGACAACUGAAGGAUGCACAGCUUCUGCAUUCAGCAGCAAUAGAUUCUGGUUUCAGGAACUCUGGCAUAACAGUGGGAAAGAAAGGAAAGACUAUGAUGGCUGUCCGGAGUACACAUAACUUAGAAGUUCCAUUAAGCCACAAGGGAAAACUGAUGGUGACAGAGGAAUAUAUUGACUUCCUCUUAAAUAUAGCAAAUCAAAAAAUGGAGGAGAACAAGAAGAGAAUUGAAAGGUUUUACAACUGCCUACAACAUGCUUUGGAAAGAGAAACUAUUACUAACUCACAUCCCAAGAUCAAAGAGAAACAUAAUUCAUCAUAUACUCAUAUGAAAAAAAGAAACCCAAAGAAAACACGUGGCAAGUGUAUUACUGACAAAAACGAUGAAGACACUAACAAUGAUGAUGAUGAUCCUGGAAUCAGUGUUAAUAUCUUCCCUGAAGAAUAUUGAGAUUUGCUUCUGAAGUAUCUUGUUGGAGAAAUAUUUCUAGCAGAUAUCAUAAAGCUGCUCUUU